Long non-coding RNA from Populus trichocarpa (black cottonwood), 1431 nucleotides. RefSeq lists it as uncharacterized. NCBI's taxonomy places the organism in Eukaryota, Viridiplantae, Streptophyta, Magnoliopsida, Malpighiales, Salicaceae. The record is from RefSeq and is a predicted model, not a curated record. The transcript is spliced from 2 exons.
GUAGUUAGCCGGUUACCAAGUCAGUCCCUGGCUAUGGCUAUAAAAGGAGAGGGGGGGCAUGAAUACACAUUCAUGUCACACACACUUGCCGGUGGAUGUCAUCUUCAUUCUCUCUCUAUGCUUAUCAUUUUCAUUUACUUUUUGUUGUUUUAGAUUUUUCGUUGUGGGUUUCGUCUAUUUGUUUCGUUGAAAAGUGAUUGCUGUUUAGAGAAGAAACAUUUCAAAAGAAGAGUCAGCUGUACGUAUAUCAUGUUUGAAGAUGCAAUAUGAAUAUAUACAUGUUUUCCAAUGUGAAACUAAACAUUCACAAGUAGAAGUCCCGAUCCUUAAAGUUAUACAUUUUCAAUCUUUUCAAGUUUCAAGAUCUCCCUCUCUCUCUGUUGUUCAGCCAAGAAAGUCUUCAACAGCUUAUGAAGAUAAUGAAGAGCAAGGCGUCUAGGGCUUGAAUGAGAGGGAGAGAAGAAGAGAAGAGGUGUGAGGUUAUGCAUGCUGACAGAAGAGAGGGAGCACAACCCUGUAAUAGCUAAAGAGAGUCUUUGCUUUUGUUGGACUGUGCUUUCUCUUCUUCUGUCACCAACCAACACAGUAUCUUCUCUCUGAUCUGAUGUGAUCCACUACCAGAUCAAACCGGCGUCUUAAGAUCUUCCUGGCUUUGGAAUUUUUUUUUUCUCCCAGCAGCUUCCAACUUGGUUCAUUAUGAAAGUGAUAUUUCGGUUUUACAUAGAAACAAGAAUAUACAAAUUCAGCUUGAUUUAGGGACUGAUGACCAUUUCUUUUAUUUUGAUUUCAGAUAACACAAGGAAGCAAUCAAGUAAAGAGAGAAAUCAAGAAGUCAGUAGCAGUACAGAUCCUGAAAAUGGAAGAUAGCUUGUUUCAAUGAUCAUUUACAGCUAAUUUGUCCUGGAAGGGCAGUCACGUCGCAUUAUCUUAUUUGAAUGUCAUUGCUUCAAGUAAUGGCAUCAUUCAUGCUAUUCGAUGGACGCUUGUGAAUACUAACAUCAUAAGAUGCACAAUCCAUAAUGUUCUGAAUCAAGAUGUAUUGAAAAUAUAAACAAUUUAUUUUAUAUGUUAACCCUUUCUCCAGUGCCCUCCUCUAAAAAAAAUGAGAUGGUAAUUCUAAACCCAAAGGAUUACACAGGAUACAUUCAGUUAUCACCACUACGUCUUCGAAGCAGCAAAGAGAUCACUCCUUCCCUCUUGGGAUUACAAAGAUUAUGAAUUACGCCUGAUUAAACUCAUCUUUAGACCCUUACUGGCCAAGGACUUCGGGCAUUCCUUACAGAUUCUUGACAUUCUUCAAUGUCAAACCAUGAGGUUCAUGGCUGAAGUGUAGAUCAUUGAAUGUAGCAUGUACUGGUUGUGAACCAUGCUUCAGCUGUAUGAGUUAUGGUUGUACUUCCUGAAAUACAAGUGACCUCGGUUGGAUUUUCA